RNAcentral lists this transfer RNA (59 nucleotides) under Nigidius sp. NIG01. RNAcentral's name for it is "tRNA-Ser". The record is from RNAcentral. Lineage: Eukaryota; Metazoa; Arthropoda; Insecta; Coleoptera; Lucanidae.
GAAAUAUUCAAUAAUUAAGCUUCUAACUUAAUUCAUAGUGAUAAACCAUUAAUAUUUCU